RNAcentral lists this ribosomal RNA (465 nucleotides) under uncultured bacterium. RNAcentral's name for it is "partial 16S ribosomal RNA". It matches the Rfam family "Bacterial small subunit ribosomal RNA", at positions 338 to 795 of the family's 1533-position model. The record is from RNAcentral.
CCUACGGGAGGCAGCAGUAGGGAAUCUUCCACAAUGGACGAAAGUCUGAUGGAGCAACGCCGCGUGGGUGAAGAAGGUUUUCGGCUCGUAAAGCUCUGUUGGUAGUGAAGAAAGAUAGAGCUAGUAAGUGGCCUUUAUUUGACGGUAAGUACUUGGAACGGCACAGCUAACUCCAUGCCAGCAGCCGCGGUAAGACGUAGGUGGCAAGCGUGGUCCGGAUUUAUUGGGAGGAAAGCGAGUGGAGGCGGUGCAAUAAGUCUGAUGGUAAGGCCUUCGGCUCAACCGGAGAAUUGCAUCAGAAACUGUUGAACUUGAGUGCAGAAGAGGAGAGUGGAACGCCAUGUGUAGCGGUGGAAUGCGUAGAUAUAGGGCAGAACACCAGUGGCGAAGGCGGCUCUCCGGUCGGGAACUGACGCUGAGGCUCGAAAGCAUGGGUAUCGAACAGGAUUAGAUACCCCUGUAGUC